RNAcentral lists this ribosomal RNA (253 nucleotides) under uncultured bacterium. RNAcentral's name for it is "partial 16S ribosomal RNA". It matches the Rfam family "Bacterial small subunit ribosomal RNA", at positions 524 to 776 of the family's 1533-position model. The record is from RNAcentral.
UACGUAGGGACCAAGCGUUGUUCGGAAUUACUGGGCUUAAAGGGUGCGUAGGCUGCGCGGAAAGUUGGGUGUGAAAUCCCUCGGCUCAACCGAGGAACUGCGCCCAAAACUACCGUGCUCGAGGAAGAUAGAGGUAAGCGGAACUUACGGUGGAGCGGUGAAAUGCGUUGAUAUCGUAAGGAACACCUGUGGCGAAAGCGGCUUACUGGGUCUUUUCUGACGCUGAUGCACGAAAGCUAGGGGAGCAAACGGG